AAUCCUAUCCCUGGUUCCCCAAACCCCUCCCUGGACCCCCAAAUUCCCCCCUGGACCCCCCAGCCCCAUCACACUCCAGGUUUUUUUGGGAUUAACGUUUAUUCUGGCCAAACAAGCGUGAGGGGCCGGGCUGGGAGGCAGCAGCCUCGUGCCCCCCUUCCCUGGUUAACAGAAACACCCCAAAAAUGGCCCAAAAGCCUCAAAUCCCCCCGAAAAAAAAGCUGGAUUAGGAAUUUGGGAGGGAUGGAGGGAGUUAGAGAGGGUCUGGGGGAGCUCAGUCACCGCUUUGGGGGUCCCCAAAGCCCCCCCAGGUUGGCAGGGUGGGGGGCUCACGGCUCGGCACAGAUUUGGGGGCUCAGCACCAGCUGCGGCAGCUGGAAUUUGGGGGUCCCCUCGGGCCGGAGCCCCCCGGGAUCGCAGCGGGAGGAGAUGCCCCCGAUGGCGAGGGGGAUCUGGGGGUCCCCGGGGCACAGCUCCACAUCGGGGAACCGCAUCCUCCCCAAUUUGGGGGGCUCCGGAGAGGCCCCCGCGGGGGUGAAACCCACCCUGGGCACCCAGCGGCGCCGCCGGGGGUUCCCAUCGCGGGCGGCUCCUCCUUCCUCGGGCACGGGCUUGGAGCCGCCCCUCCUCAUCCUCGCCGAGGAUCCCGCGCCGCUCCCGGAGGAGCCGGCCCCGAAUUUGGGGAGUUUCACCCCAAAGCGGCGCCCGGGCGGCUCCGAGGCGCCGUCCAAGCCCGGCGGCGCCAGCUCCAGCACCGGCACCUUCAGCACCGGCGGCUCCGGAGCCCGGCGCGGCUCGGGGCGCUCCGGUGCCGGUGCCGGUUGCGCUCCCGGCAGGGCGAACCCCACGGCGGGGAUGGGGAUGCGGGGCGGCGCCGGAGCCCCCCGAGAUUUGGGUUUGGCGCGGAGGCUCCCGGGGGGCUCCGGGGCCGUCCAGCCCAGGAUCAGGCUCUCGGCGCUGCCCCCGCGUUUCGGGGGCGCUUUGGGGACCCCGCCGGGGCGGAGGUCGGGGCUGGAGCCCCCGAAUUUGGGCAGCGCCGCGGCCGCGAUGCCGAAGCGCGGGGCGCGGAGCCGGGGGGAGCCCGGGGCGGCCCCGGGGCCGAAUCGCGGCCCGUCCUCGGUGUCACCGAACGGCGCCAGCGACAAUUUGGGCACCUUCAGCUUGGCCCCCGCGUCUCCCACCGCGCCCAGGUCCAGCUCCACGCUGGGGAUGGCGAUGCCGGGGGGCGAUGCCGGAGGGGAGGGGGUCCCGCCGCCCUCCCGCAGCUUGGCCAGCGCCCACCCGAGGCGGGGAAGGCGGAAUUUGGGGGGCUUGGGGGCGAUUUCCACGGCCGGAGCCUCCAGCUCGCGGCUGAGCUUCCGCAGCCCCUCGGCGAAGCGGGAACUCGAGUUCGGGGGGCUCAUCCCGGGGGGCUCCGCGCUGGCGAGGCCGAGCUCCGGCGCCAGCUCCACGGCGGCUUUGGGGACAUCGAUGGGCACCGAGGGGACGCGGAGGGCCGGGAACGCCCCCCGAGCCCCCGGAGCCCCCUCCUCAUUUCCCCCGGGGCCGUCGGGGGUCGCGGCCGGGCCCCCCUUUGCCCACGGGGGCGGGCUCAGCCCCAGGGAGCCCUUGGGGGCCGCCAGCUCCACGCUGGGGAUGCGGGCACCGAGCUCGGGGGGCUCCGGGGGCGCCGUCCGGGCCGCGGCCGCUUCGCGCACGGUCAGGCGGGGCCGCGGCGGCUCCGGGGGCAGCGGGGGCAGCGGGCCGGGGGCGCCGCGGGGCUUGGGCAGCUUGGGCAGCUUGGGAAGGGCGAGCUCCACCGAGAGGGGCGCGGCGGC
Long non-coding RNA from Junco hyemalis (dark-eyed junco), 1817 nucleotides. NCBI's taxonomy places the organism in Eukaryota, Metazoa, Chordata, Aves, Passeriformes, Passerellidae. The record is from Ensembl.